This 492-nucleotide ribosomal RNA is filed under the name uncultured bacterium. Its description in RNAcentral is "partial 16S ribosomal RNA". It matches the Rfam family "Bacterial small subunit ribosomal RNA", at positions 29 to 507 of the family's 1533-position model. The record is from RNAcentral.
AGUGAACGCUGGCGGUAGGCCUAACACAUGCAAGUCGAACGGCAGCACAGUAAGAGCUUGCUCUUACGGGUGGCGAGUGGCGGACGGGUGAGGAAUACAUCGGAAUCUACUUUUUCGUGGGGGAUAACGUAGGGAAACUUACGCUAAUACCGCAUACGACCUACGGGUGAAAGCAGGGGAUCUUCGGACCUUGCGCGAUUGAAUGAGCCGAUGUCGGAUUAGCUAGUUGGCGGGGUAAAGGCCAACCAAGGCGACGAUCCGUAGCUGGUCUGAGUGGAUGGUCGGCCACACUGGAGCUGAGACACGGUCCAGGCUCCUGCGGGGGGCAGCAGUGGGGAAUAUUGGGCAAUGGGCGCAAGCCUGAUCCAGCCAUACCGCGUGGGUGAAGAAGGCCUUCGGGUUGUAAAGCCCUUUUGUUGGGAAAAAAAAGCAGCAGGUUAAGACCCCGCUGUUCUGACGGUACCCAAAGAAUAAGCACCGGCUAACUUCGUG